Hyla sarda is the source of this 1795-nucleotide long non-coding RNA. RefSeq lists it as uncharacterized. The transcript is spliced from 3 exons. NCBI's taxonomy places the organism in Eukaryota, Metazoa, Chordata, Amphibia, Anura, Hylidae. The record is from RefSeq and is a predicted model, not a curated record.
GGCCUUCAUCCUGAUGCUGGGGCUCAAUACGUCACAUUGCCGCUCUGCCAAUCACAGGGCAAAGAAGAAACGUCCUUUUUUAUUUUACUGUGGUCUGUGGUUGUUCACCUCCGCUAUCCGGCAUAGCACUAUUAGCAUACCCAUUCUUUCCUAGGCUUCUUUAGGAUUCUAUUAUCAUUUGGAAUUCAUGGCCAUCUCUGAAACAUCGGUUCGGGAUGCAGGCGGCAGCCGGAUACUCCAGAGACCAUCAUAUAUUGAUAUAUAUGCAACUAUAAGUGUUCAGCCCUGAACUCAGCACCAUAAGAUGGCACUGCACUGAGCCCUAUAGUGAAACGUCGAUCAAAAUAGUGGAAGUGGACUCUUGUGAUUGCUGCAGGUGGUGCUCUGAUCAGAACUGUACAGAAAUUGGACACGGUCCAUUAAGACAAGGAGAUUUUUUGAUGGUCGGCUUGGAACUCACAAUGGAUGACACAAUGGAGAAAACGCGUCCAGCUACAAUGACAACAUGGAGAAACCAUUAACAGCCAACACGAAGGAUAUAGAAAACAACCUCUCCAAAAGUGUAUGCCAAUGAUCAUUAAAAGGAAAACUCAAGGUAUUGGCUAGACCAAUGAACACAAGGUUCUCUGGUGAUGUAUGAAACCUGUUGUGUAUUUGUCCACUCUUCUACAUCAAUUUUUUUUUACUUCUUCCCACUUACGUACAGAAUCACGUCUAUUUACAGAUCCAUCUACACCUACAUACAGACUGCUCCAAUCUAUCACAGGAGCCAGAAGCGUUCAACACGAGUUUAAUGUCCUUUAAGGGUACGUUCCCACACAGCGUAUUUUGCUGCGUAUUUGCUGCGUAUUUGGUGCUGCGUAUUUUCCUACCCAUUGACUUCAACAGAGAAAAUAAAAUACGCAGCAGCAAAUACGCCGUGUGGGAAUGUACCCUAAAGGCGUACUCCACUGCUAGACAUCUUAUCACCUAUCCAAAAGGAUAGGGGAUAAGAUGUCUGAUCCAGGGGGUCCCGCUGCUUUGGCCCCUUGCGCUCUCCCACAGCACCCGGCGUUCUAAACAAAUACCGGGUUCCUGCGGCAGUGGUUGUGAUGACCAGUUGAUUUAAAAAAAAAAUUCCACUGGAGUACCCCUUUAAUAAGAUGGGCAAACCUUUUUAAUGGAAUACUACUAUUAUACUAUUUCAGGUGAUUUUUUUCAGGAUAAGUUAUCUUGUGUGUGUACAUGAAUAGUAGCACUAUUUCUGGCCAUUACAUAAACAUGUAUACAAGAUUUUUCUUUACCAUCAGAUUGGUGUGCAGGCGUCAUCUUUUAUUUUCAGUUGUUGCUGAGUUAGUGAGUGGAUCCGAACGUCUAUGGUGUCUGCCAUACACUGCAGACGCAGAACAGGUGAUCGUGUACUUUUUUGUCUCUGUACACACCAGAAGAAGCAGCAGCAAUGAGGCUGUGUUCACACUUCGGAAUGUCCGCGUGGAAAAUCUCUGCGGGCGCCUGCGACGGAACUGGGAUCCCGAGGGCGCGGGUGGUUAAUGAGGUUGUUACGGGCGAGAGCAGACGCUCACAGAACAUACAUCAGGUGCUGCAAAAUCUCGUAAACCUCAAAUGCCACUGGGAGGUGAUGAAAUGGCACGGAGGUGAUGAAAUGGCACGGAGGUACUAUCUCUAAAAACUGUGACAAAAUGUUUGUGGUAGCAGGCAGGAAUGGACACACAUUGCGGGAGAGGAACACACAUCUUACGGGUAAUGGUCAGAAAUCCAGUGGGAGCGGGACUAAGAAAACAGUCCCACGCUGGUC